RNAcentral lists this long non-coding RNA (730 nucleotides) under Brassica napus (rape). Its description in RNAcentral is "long non-coding RNA (BNAP_LNC007195)". Lineage: Eukaryota; Viridiplantae; Streptophyta; Magnoliopsida; Brassicales; Brassicaceae. The record is from RNAcentral.
AAUUAAUUUUCAAAUCAACCAUCUGAAUCUCUUAAGAGUAGAAAAACAAAUUAUCCACCAAAAAUGCAAUAUGAAAACAUAAAUCAAACCUGGCUGCACGAUUGAUCCUAAAGAUGUGAACAAAGAAAAUGAUACAAGAUUGACAACAAAAUGAUUUAGAUAUGAAUAUCAAACCAUUGAUUCCUAUUGGUCAAAUUUAACAGGACUAUUCUUAUUCAACAUGUGGUAAUUUUUCACCACUGGUUUUAGAUACUUUCUUCACGACAUGUUCAUUCGUAUAAUUAAUCAGGAUGGAGCCCUCAAGGACCGGUUUAGCUAGCUGUGCAUACAACGAAAUCUAGUGCUGACUUUCUGUGGCUAUAAAAAUUAUUGCACAUCGUAUAGAAUUUGUCGUACCAACUUUACCUAGAAAGCUGGAUAACACAUGAAUCCAUCUAAACCUUUGAGUUCACACUAGAUAAUCACCAGACGCUUUGAAAUAAAUAACUUUUUUUUUUGUAUUUAUGAGUGAAAUGUCUAAGAGAUUGAUUAUGAUAAGGUUUAUACAGUUUUAUUUGACCAAAAGAAGGUUUAUACAGAUUUAUUGAUAAAACAAACAAGGUUAACAAUUACAAGCUAGAAAUGAGGUAUUUGACUGAUUACAAGAUGUUAGAUUUAGUAUAUGGUUCAGAUAUAGUAUUGUAAUUUGUUAUGUACAGUAUACGAUUCCAAGGUAUAUAAUGAUUUAGCA